RNAcentral lists this long non-coding RNA (210 nucleotides) under Musa acuminata (dwarf banana). Its description in RNAcentral is "long non-coding RNA (MACU_LNC003337)". The record is from RNAcentral. Lineage: Eukaryota; Viridiplantae; Streptophyta; Magnoliopsida; Zingiberales; Musaceae.
UUAUUAUAAGUUAAUUAUUAACUAAAAUGUUAAUUUAUAUUAAUAGCAACAUAUAUAACCCUAUAAAGUUGUUGAUCUUUAUAUUUAGAUCUUUAAAUUUGAAUGUGCCAUAUAUUAUAAUCAACUAUUCCUUAAAAGUUUAAUUUUUAAGCUUAUAUAUUUAUUUUUAUAGAAGUAACUAGAGUGACAUAUUAUAAGUUUUUUAAAAAU